Molecule: ribosomal RNA, 704 nt
Filed under: uncultured Staphylococcus sp.
Lineage: Bacteria; Bacillati; Bacillota; Bacilli; Caryophanales; Staphylococcaceae
Description: bacterial SSU rRNA
Rfam family: Bacterial small subunit ribosomal RNA
Source: RNAcentral
GUCGAGCGAACGGACGAGAAGCUUGCUUCUCUGAUGUUAGCGGCGGACGGGUGAGUAACACGUGGAUAACCUACCUAUAAGACUGGGAUAACUUCGGGAAACCGGAGCUAAUACCGGAUAAUAUUUUGAACCGCAUGGUUCAAAAGUGAAAGACGGCCUUGCUGUCACUUAUAGAUGGAUCCGCGCUGCAUUAGCUAGUUGGUAAGGUAACGGCUUACCAAGGCAACGAUGCAUAGCCGACCUGAGAGGGUGAUCGGCCACACUGGAACUGAGACACGGUCCAGACUCCUACGGGAGGCAGCAGUAGGGAAUCUUCCGCAAUGGGCGAAAGCCUGACGGAGCAACGCCGCGUGAGUGAUGAAGGUCUUCGGAUCGUAAAACUCUGUUAUUAGGGAAGAACAUAUGUGUAAGUAAUUGUGCACAUCUUGACGGUACCUAAUCAGAAAGCCACGGCUAACUACGUGCCAGCAGCCGCGGUAAUACGUAGGUGGCAAGCGUUAUCCGGAAUUAUUGGGCGUAAAGCGCGCGUAGGCGGUUUUUUAAGUCUGAUGUGAAAGCCCACGGCUCAACCGUGGAGGGUCAUUGGAAACUGGAAAACUUGAGUGCAGAAGAGGAAAGUGGAAUUCCAUGUGUAGCGGUGAAAUGCGCAGAGAUAUGGAGGAACACCAGUGGCGAAGGCGACUUUCUGGUCUGUAACUGACGCU